AACCAACCACCUUAAACUGACUUAACAAAAAAAACAACAAAUGUGUUAGAGUUCAACACUUUUUCAAAACCUCUUUUUCAUUUUUUUUUUGAAAAGAUCACCGAACCCAAGAAGAGAGCCUAUGUAUAUCACUCCCGAGAUAGGAGAAUCAGGUGUGCGUUGUUCGUGAAGUCUUGCCAAAAUGGCCAACUAAACUAUUUUUCCUUUAUUUUUUUUUCUUGAAACUUUAAAAAGAAAAGGAAAUAACAAAUUGUCAAAAGAAUUGACGAAAAUCUUUUUGUAUUUUUCAAGUUUAAACUCCCUAUACAAAAUGAAACCUAUGAUUACCAAAGAAAAAUCUUUUUGAGUUUUCGAUUUUGAAUUUCAUAUGAAAAUGAAACUUGAACCUAUUAAAGGAAAAAUCUUUCUUAAAGUUUUCUUUUAAAGAUGUAUAUGAAACACCUACUCUAAUAAAGAGUGAAGAAAAUCUUUCUUUUUUUUUAAUUUUUCAAAUAAGAUCCCCGAACCAACAAUAGACUGCCUACGUAUCUCACUCCCGAGAGAGGAGAAUCAGGGGUGCAUAGUUCGUCCAGAUUGGACAAAUAAGGAUUAAAGAAUUAACUAAACCUUGACUUGAGAGACACAACUACAACGACGAAAAUAAAAUCUUUUUGGGGAUUUUCACUUUGACACUCCACAUAAAACUGACACCAACAACUAUGAAAGAAAAAAUCUUUUUGAUAUUUUCAUUACAUGAAAUGUACAAAACUUCUACUACCUUUUUUUUGAAUUUUUCUUUUAUAAAAAGCUCCUAAAAAAAUCGUUUUGAAGUUUUCGAAUUGUGAAUGCUUGCUAAAUGAAACAAAAGGAAAAUCUUUUUGAUGUUUUCAUAGGCUAGCGAGGAAGGAGGCGAAGUCAGCAGUCACGGCAGCUAAGACGGCCGCUUUUGAGAGCUUGUAUGUAGGGUUACAGGAGAAAGGAGGGGAGAAAAAGUUGUUUAGACUCGCUAAGGCUAGGGAGAGGAAGGGUCGUGACCUCGAUCAGGUGAGGUGCAUUAAGGGGAAGGACGGUAGAGUGUUGGUGGAGGACGGCCACAUUAAGAAGAGAUGGCAAUCGUAUUUUCAUAGGCUCUUGAAUGACGAAGGGGAUAGAGCUAUUGUGUGGAUUUUAGCUAUUGUAGACGUUUUAAGGUAGACGAGGUUAGACAGGCAGUCCGCAGGAUGCGAAGGGGUAGGGCGACGGGGCCGGAUGAGAUACCGGUGGAGUUUUGGAAGUUCGUUGGAGAGGCUGGUGUAAGGUGGUUGACUGCAUUGUUCAAUGAAAUUUUCAGGACGGCAAAGAUGCCCGAGGCGUGGAGGUGGAGUUCCAUGGUCCCUCUCUAUAAGAAUAAGGGGGACAUUCAGAGUUGCAAUAACUAUAGGGGGAUUAAGUUAUUGAGUCACUCUAUGAAGAUCUGGGAGAGAGUAGUCGAGGUGAGGCUGAGACGGAUAGUGUCUAUUUCGGAAAACCAGUUCGGAUUUAUGCCCGGCCGCUCGACGACGGAGGCAAUUCACCUGGUACGGAGGUUGGUGGAACAGUAUAGGGAGAGGAAGAAGGAUCUGCACAUGGUGUUCAUCGACCUGGAAAAGGCGUACGACAAAGUCCCAGGGAAGUGCUUUGGAGAUGCUUGGAGGUGAGUGGAGUACCGCAGGCAUAUAUCAGAGUAAUUAAGGAUAUGUAUGAGGGAGCGAAAACCCAGGUGAGGACGGCGGGAGGAGACUCAGAGCAUUUCACUGUCCUGACAGGAUUGCACCAGGGAUCUACUCUUAGUCCCUUUUUGUUUGCGUUAGUAAUGGAUGUGUUGACGCGGCGUAUCCAAGGGGAGGUGCCGUGGUGUAUGCUUUUUGCAGACGAUGUAGUCCUGAUAGAUGAGACUCGAGGGGGUGUGAAUGACAAAUUAGAGUUGUGGAGGCAAACUCUGGAGUCUAAAGGGUUCAGGGUGAGCAGAACCAAGACAGAGUAUGUGGAAUGUAAGUUUAAUGACGUGAGGCGGGAGAAUGAGGUAGUAGUGAGGCUAGAAGCACAGGAGGUAGGGAAGAGGGAUAAGUUCAAGUAUCUCGGGUCCGUGAUCCAGAGUAACGGUGAGAUUGACGAGGAUGUCUCGCACCGUAUUGGGGCGGGAUGGAUGAAGUGGAAACUCGCAUCGGGGGUGCUGUGUGAUAAGAAGGUGCCGCCCAAGCUUAAAGGCAAAUUCUAUAGGGUGGUAGUCCGUCCGGCCUUGCUGUAUGGAGCGGAGUGUUGGCCAGUUAAGAACUCCCACAUCCAAAAAAUGAAGGUGGCAGAAAUGCGGAUGUUGCGCUGGAUGUGUGGACUGACCCGAGGGGAUAGAGUUCGGAAUGAGACUAUCCGGGAGAAGGUUGGUGUGACUUCAGUGGAGUGUAAGAUGCGGGAAGCACGAUUGAGAUGGUUCGGACACGUGAAGAGGAGGGGCACGGAUGCCCCGGUCCGUAGGUGUGAGAGGCUAGCGUUGGAUGGUUUUAGACGGGGUAGGGGUAGACCGAAGAAGUACUGGGGUGAGGUGAUUAGGCGGGACAUGGAACAGUUACAGCUCACCGAGGACAUGACCCUAGCAUGUUUUAUUACGAAUCUGUGUGCUUUCCUCUGCUUUCCUCUGUUUUAUAUUACUUAUGGGUGCCGUAUUUAUGUUAUGUAAUCGGCUUCUAUGCUUUACUAUGUGUUUGUGUGGUAUCUCGUGCCUUGAGCCGGGGGUCUAUCGGAAACAACCUUUCUACUUCAUCAGAGGUAGAGGUAUGGACUGCAUACAUCUUACCCCCCAGACCCCACUAGGUGGGAAUACACUGGGUUUGUUGUUGUUGUUGUUGUUGUUAUUUUUGAAAAAUAAGUGCAAAAAGUAAAAAAAAGUCUUUUUUUUUUUAAUUUUUGAAUCGUGGAAAACAAAAGUCAUAAAGAACUCUAAAAACUACAAAACUCUCUUUUUUUCUUUUCGACUCACUUUUCACUUUUUUUUUAAUAUUUUUUUCUCAACAUUUCUUGCCUAUGCACUUUACUUCUAACACAUGUUUUCUCCAAAUCAGUCCAUCAAAUGACCAUGUUACCCUCCAAGAUGCAACAUUUAGCACAUAGGGAUGAUUUAGAGGUGAGUGUCCUACAAAGGACCACAUGGGUCCCGCUAGGUCUCAAUAUGAUGUGGAUAAGCAUGACCUAAAGGCUGACCUACGCUAGGGUUUACUAACAAGGUUGUUCAGGGGGGCAUAUAGUCGAUAGUGGCUGCUUUACUUUCCACCCACUCCAUACGUCCGACGGCUCCCUCUCCUAAAAUAAGGGUGACUCAACUAGAGUUUGUAUACACGACGUGCACUCCAGGACUUGUUGCAGAAAUAAUUGAGACUCAACUAGAGUUUGUAUACACGACGUGCACUCCAGGACUUGUUGCAGAAAUAAUUGACUCGGGUUAAGCACAUGAUGCCAGAUAUAAAACGGUAACAUAUAGGAGAAAAAAUGUAAACACGUAGCAUGUAAGCACUCAACAAUGAUAAAAUAAACACAAACAGUAAUACAAACAAUGUUUAUACACUCAUAAUGUCAAACUAAGCCGAUACAACUCCAAAAAUAAACUCGAAUUCUGAAAAACUCCCCAGCAGAGUCGCCAGAGCUGUUACACCCCUUUUUAACUCCAAAAAAGAUUAUUUUUAUGGGUUUCAAAAGGGUUUUAUUUAUUAAAUUGACAAAAAUGAGGAUUUGUUUCGAAAAAGGUUAAUUUAUAUUUUUUAUUCAGAGUCGCCACUUGACAUAAUCCGGUGUGCCAAGACACCUUUGGAGAAUCCUUUUCGAAAUGAUUUGACUCUUUAAAAAAUCGGUUUGUGAACAAAGAUUCCGACUAAGGAAUUCUGUUGACCGAGGGGGAUGGUGUUAGGCAUCCCUCGAUCUCAUGGUUCGACCACGGUCGCUUGGUGGAGCAUAUCAGCUAAUUUGACAUUACAAAUGUACAAACCACACAAAAACACACAAACAAUCAAUCAAACACAUGAAACAAAACAAAUCCAAAAUAUAGUGUUCAGUCCAAUUAUACAGUUCAAAAUAAAAAAUGCGAAAAAAUAAAUCCUAUUCUAACCUACACUAAUCCUGAACUAUGCUCCAGUGCUUUACCCGAUGCCUCGGGCCUUCAUCACGGGCGUCCUUCGAGUACAAAAUACUGUGGGUUAUUCCCCAACAAAUAAACAAAAAUACCUCGGGGCAUUUUCCGGCCAAAUAAUACAUUUGAUCCAAAAGCAAUAAAAUCAAGCCAUUCAACACAUGUUUCGAGCAUUCAACAUUCCACAAUUCCUAAAAUUUGCCAACCCGAACCUACUAUUUGCCUACCCAACUCGACCUAUCAUGGAACUAUCACGAUCGACGACGUCAAUGAAUCAAAACAACAAAAAAAUUAAAAUUAAUCCUAAUUCACUUUAGCAAUUUUUCAAUUCCGCACCAAAUUCAUUCUCAACCAAUGAUUAACACAUGCAUCGAUUAUCAAUUCAUUUUUCAACAUUCAAAUCCAACAUCAACCAAUACACAAUCAAGAUUCAAACAUAACAACACAUAAAUCAUUCACGAUUACGUAAAAAUUAAAAAAAGAAAAGAUAGAAUUAGACCUCAGUGCUUUCAAAAAUCAAUGUAUUAUUUCGAUCAACCCGGUAGAAUCCGCGUCCGAAAUCCUCGAACAAAACCCCCAAUCACGAUCAAGAAUCCAACUCGGUAUCAAGAAAGUGAAGCCCAAAAUUGAUUACGGUGAAUUGAUCAGGACGAAACAAAAUCUAAAUCCCAAAAUCAGUUCGAAGACAGAUGAGCUAAGACCAAAAUUGCAACAGACUAAAUCGAACCCGUUAAAAUUCUCAGCAAACGAACUCACAACUUGAACAAAAAAAAACCCCAAAACCCGAACUAACCCGAACAAUCCCACUAAACCAUUUCAAUUUUUAUCAUUUUUCGACGAAAAUUGGUCAGAAUAAACUGAAACGGCUCAAAUUUUUAUGGAUUAGAUGGAUGACUUACCUUUCGACGAGAUUCGGACGAAAAACCGGGAUCGGGACUGACUUCUUGAUGUGAGUAUGGUUGGAACGAGAUUAGCGGAGCUUUCUCGGUGGCGAUUCUAGUGAGUCACCGGCGAGAACUUCGCCGGAAGGCAGUCCAACGGCCUCUAUGUCUCUCUCUCGAUCUCUCUGGCUCGCUCAAAUCUCUCUUACCUUCAACGAUUUCUCACUGUUUCUCUUUUAACUCUCUAUGCCUCUCUCCAUCUCUCACUCUCACUCUCCUCUCUUCUCCUUACCGUGUGUAUUUUCUGAGUUUUCAGUGAGCUGGUGAAAAUGCUAUGCCAGUGUAAUUGGGGAUUUUGUGGUGAUUAGUGAAUAAGAAAAGGAAAAAAAAUGUGCGAUGUGUUCUAUGUUGAGAAAAAAAAGAAUCCUGUGGUGCGUAUGUUCUGUGUAUAUGGAUUGGUCAAGAAGAAAAGAAAAUCUCCUGUACCUAUGUGUUUUUGGAAAAAUGGAAAAGAAGACCAAAGAGAAAGGAAAAAAAGGUCUCCCCUAAUCUAUUCCAGUGAAUGGAAAUUAUAUCGAUGGAAUGUGGGGUCCAUGAGUGAGGUGUCUAUUUUGAUUGAGUAGGUUAUUAGGAUAAGGUGUAAAGUUGGUUAGAAUAGAAAUAAAACAAGAUAAAGUAUGUUAGGGAUUAUGUUAAGGGUUGUUAUUUUUUUUUUUUUUGUGAGGUAUAAUUACAUGGAUAAGGGUGUACAAUAAAGUGAGG
RNAcentral lists this long non-coding RNA (5754 nucleotides) under Capsicum annuum. RNAcentral describes it as "long non-coding RNA (CANN_LNC003725)". Lineage: Eukaryota; Viridiplantae; Streptophyta; Magnoliopsida; Solanales; Solanaceae. The record is from RNAcentral.